Molecule: ribosomal RNA, 418 nt
Filed under: Megasphaera elsdenii
Lineage: Bacteria; Bacillati; Bacillota; Negativicutes; Veillonellales; Veillonellaceae
Description: bacterial SSU rRNA
Rfam family: Bacterial small subunit ribosomal RNA
Source: RNAcentral
GAGAAGUCUGACGGAGCAACGCCGCGUGAACGAUGACGGCCUUCGGGUUGUAAAGUUCUGUUAUACGGGACGAAUGGCGUAACGGUCAAUACCCGUUACAAGUGACGGUACCGUAAGAGAAAGCCACGGCUAACUACGUGCCAGCAGCCGCGGUAAUACGUAGGUGGCAAGCGUUGUCCGGAAUUAUUGGGCGUAAAGGGCGCGCAGGCGGCGUCGUAAGUCGGUCUUAAAAGUGCGGGGCUUAACCCCGUGAGGGGACCGAAACUGCGAUGCUAGAGUAUCGGAGAGGAAAGCGGAAUUCCUAGUGUAGCGGUGAAAUGCGUAGAUAUUAGGAGGAACACCAGUGGCGAAAGCGGCUUUCUGGACGACAACUGACGCUGAGGCGCGAAAGCCAGGGGAGCAAACGGGAUUAGAUACC